UCAUUCACCUCCCACUCAGCAUGCUUUACUGCUUUCUCAUCUUCACUUCCCCCACGGAUAACGACAUACUCCUGUCUGGCCUAUGUAUGGAUGAACAUGUGUAAGUGCUAACACACACACACACACACACACACACACACACACACACACACACACACACACACACACACACAUACUCAUACAAACAGAAUGAGAAAAAAGGGGAAACAGUGUGUUGCAGACAUCCAUUUAAGGAAGAAUAGGAAGGAUUAGUCCGCUGUGGGGUGUGUAGACAACAUUAAACUAGGACCCUCCUUUCUAACUCAACCAGACAAGUAGCUUCCUCUUGAAGGAUGGUUGAAAUUCUGACAUGCUGUCUUCUGUUUCAUGCUGUCUACAAACCCACGGCCCAAAGUGCAAAAGCAGAGAGCAGGAUCUCUGAGAGGACCAGGAUGAAAAAAGCAACAAACACUGAACACGUCCUCUACACUUAUCAACACUGAACACUUGGAGUAUCAUGAAACACUUACAGGUAUAUGUACUGGUAUAAAAAUAAAUAACAAAGAUCCAUGCUAGGCUCAUGACCAAACUGGACCAAGCAGAUAAGGAGUUUAUUUGAGUAAGAUGUUACCACAAACCAGGGUGAGAAAUUUCACACAGUUAUAUCAUAAAACUUACAUACUUACUAAUGAACUUGCACUUAAUUAUUGACUAGUUCAGCGGGUAUUCAAAUGCAAGUCAAGUUUAUUUCACAGAGCAGAGUCAACAAGUGCUUCACAAAAAGGCGAAAAUAAAAACAGCAAUAAAGAGAUGAAUAAAUGUAAUACUAUCAGUCAACAGUUACAGAUGGUCAAAAGCAGGUUUGGACUAAUGUGACUUUAAAAACAAAAGAGGAGAUAUCACAUCAUAUUUGGAUUAGAAAACAGUUCUAGAGAGUUGGAGCCACAAGUAUAAAAUCUCCUUUUAUAUACAGUCGAGCACAGGGAACAGCAAGUAGACCCGGGUCAGAAGAGCUGAGAGAUCUACUCGUGGUGUGAGGAUGGAGCAGCUCAGAAUUAAACAGCGGAGCUUGAUUAUGGAUGGCUUUAUAAGUUAACACAACUAUUGAAUUUCCUCUUGAGGAUAAAUUAUUUAAAUUUGUAUCCUAUCUUGAAACUAAUGAAUUUGGCUCGCAACAGAUGCAAAUAAAUAAAUUAAUAAAAAUAAAAAAACAAGGUUGAUAUAGAUUCUCCUGCUGGAUCUGAUUAACAGUCUUGCAAAAACAUUUUGAAUCAUUUAAAAAUGUUCAAGGGAGGAUUUAUUGAGACAUGAAAAGGGAAUUACAUUAACCAGGAGGGUUUUUCUGUAGAAAGUUUUCAUUUCUCGAACCCUCAGAGGAAGAAGAAACAAUUUAGAAAGUUGGUGAUUUUCUGUACGUCAGCUGGCUUCACAGAAAGAAAGAACUGAAUGUCGUCAGCGUAACAGUGGUAGAAGAUAUCAUGAAAUUAAUCAAUUACAUGGCAUAAUGGGAUAAGGUAAAAUAAAAGUAAAAGUGGCCCCAACACAGAACCCUGAGGCACACCACUGGAGGGAGUGGCCAAUUCUGAUCUGUAGGGUUCAAGUGACACGGACAAAUGUCUUUCUGAAAUAAAAGAAGAGAACCCCAGUGAUACCCGAUCGUAGCCUGAAUCUGUCGAUUAGAAUAUCGUGGUCUUCAGUAUCAAAUAGAGAGGAAAGGUCCUGGAGGACUAAAACCAUGACUGCCUGCAUCAGAGGACAUCAUAAUAUCAUUUGAGACCCCGAACAGAGCUGUUUCAUUUGAGUAACUGUGGUGAAAAACAUGACAGGAAAUUUGUCUCAAAAAUUGCGAGCUGUUAAAACAGAAGUGACGUGAACUGCAAUCCGGAGAUGGUGCUGUAAUUAUUCAGGACAGACAGGUCAAGGUCGGAUUUUUUGAGAAGAGGUUGAACGAUGGCAGAUUUGAAGACAGAUGGGAUACAACCGGACUGAAGGGAGUUAUUGAUGAUGGAGACUAGGCCGGAAAGAAACCUACUGUUGUCAUCAUAUUUUUUUAAUAGAGGAGUUGGCAAAAUAUCUACCAGGUUAAAACCAAGUGUUUCAGACAAAUGCCGAAGAAAUUAUUUGUGGCUUUUUUUCUAGAUCUGAAAAUCAUUUAAAUCCACAAAAGUGUUAUCAGAGAGGAAGUAUAGAGCCUGAAAGAAAUGUGUAAUACCCCCUCUUUAAUAAACCAACACAGAUGUACCACUCAACCUUUAAAUACUGUUCGACUCAGAUUUGGCCUGUUUUGACAUUAGGCAGCAGUAAACUAUCCAAAAUGUUAUUAUUUGAGCCUAAUACUGGAUCAAUUCCCUUUAAUUGACCUGAAAUAGUUUUAAACAGGUGCCACGUGUAAUUGUCAUAUUUGGUCUUUAUCUGGGUUUUAUAUCCUUCAGUUUGAGUCAGUUCUUUUUGCACUACUCUCAGACAUGACACAUACAUAGACCUGCACCCGCAGCUGUUUGCACUACUCUCAGAGGUGACUAGUGCAAACACAAAGGGGUUUCUGACAGCUAAGAGUUAAGCCCCUUACACUGACAGUGUUUUCGUCUGAGUUUCUUAAAAUCAUCAAAAUUAUGUAAUGGAGUUUAACAGUGUAGCUGCUGUUUUCACUCUCAGGCCAGUUUCUCGACAAAGGAGCCGAGCUGACUGGGAUCCACUGUAGGUAAUACAGUUACAAUCGAUGAGUCGCUCACACAGCCUUCCUUCAAAAACAAAGAGAACAAAAAUCUGAUCAAUUACUCAUGAGAUUAGUGUGAUCAAAAGACAAAUCAGAUGAGGGGUUAGGGUGCCAGAAGAUUAGAAAGGUACCAACGCAGUGACUUCUUUGCAGAGGUUAUGGUAGUAAGACCCGGGGUGCUGAGAGUUAUUGAUCUGAUCUGUGAGGAUCUGUGAUUUCUGGGAAACACAGAUCACACAAGUAUUGUUUUUGAUUUUAACAUUAAAGUAGCAAAGUCAUUGUUUUUUGGUGGUGGUGGUCAUCAUGCACAGAUAAAUCCCAUCUUGUUCCCAGAGUUUCACUUUCAUUAUAUUUAUAUAUAUUAUAUUUAUCAUUUUUAUGCCCUCUAAAAUUAAGUUGGGGUUGAUCACCCUUCAACGGUCUAUUUAGAUCUAUAGCUCAAAAUUAAUUCCUGAUUAUUAAAGAGACUACCAAACAGAAUUUGCUAAUCAAUCCAUACCAAUGUGAAACAGUCACCUUGUACUAGUAGUUUGAUUGAUCCCUCCAUCUUUCUAUUUAUCUACAUUUCCAUCAAUCCCUCUCUUAUCUCUGCCUUUUCUACACUUUUCUCUUCAUCCACCUUCACAAAGUUUGGGUCUUUUUAUUUUUUCUGCUGAUGGUGUUUGUUGAACAAACACAGUGGCACUGACUCACUGUUUUUCUGUGGCCUGCAGUCUAUUUUGUGUUUAACAAGGCAAGUUUGAGAUAUCCACUCCCUGCUGCGCUCUGAAAGCAGGGCCGGGGGAACGGUUCAGAGAAGCCGAGGAUGAUAAGAUGACACGCAGGCUGGCAGGAGAAGAUGACAAUGAAGAUAGCAUGUAUUGUGACAGUGAAUAAUUACACAAAGAUAUGACAGAGCCUUGACAAAACUGGUCUGGUCGUUUCUGUCUGAUGGCCGUGAGAUAUCGGGGGAUCAAUAAAGGCGUUAUAUGUAAUGGAGAUUAAUCUGUUUUAUUGUAAUUGUUUAUUUUUCCUCAAAGCACUUCAUGACAAAGCAGUUGUAAAACACUUAAGAGAUAAAUUUGGCCUGGCAUUUAGAAUGGCAUUUAUAGUUAUUAUGGUAUAAUAAUGGUAGUAUUGUGUUGUUUAUAGGGUUAGGAAUCAGCUGCACCACAAAGGCAGCGCUGAGCGUGAGUCAUGCCUGAUGCUUAAUUAGACUAUUAUUGGUGCUAAAAUGUCACACAGUUAAAUGAAAACUUCCAGUUCUAUGAGCUUGAAAGAUCGCUCUGCAGUUUAACUCCAGGAAGAGGUGACCAAACAUAUCAUCACCUACUUCCCUGUUAUGCGUUCCCACAUUCAGAUGUUGCUUAUUCACUGUGGUUAGCUUGCUGUGUGUUACUGUUUUUUUACAGUUUCAUAACAGAUUUAAGGUUGAUCACUUUGUUACAGUUUCAAGAGUCCCACACAAGUGGAAGGUAAAUAAGGAUGCAGAGAAGAAAACAUUUCUGUGACUAAAAGAGCUAAAAAUGACUCGAAAUGUGGCUUUUGUGAGGACUGCAACACUUGAACCAAGGGAACUCGACCUCAAGGAGACACCGUGUUUGCUGGGCAACAGAAGGCAAAAUGUACGCACACCUUUUGUUUGUUGACAAUAAAAGCACCUGAAGCACCUUGAAGAGUAGAUGUGUCAUCCUGUAAAUGUGUAAGACCACAAACAACUGUUUUCUAAAGUUUCACAUACUGUGUGUUCACUUCCAAUCAGAUUUUGUGUUGUUGCGACGUCUGAUUCACCGGUAUAUCCAACAUGGCUGACCGGCUGAUUUUUUAUUUAUUUAUUUAAUCCUCUGAACUUGUCUCUUAAUUCUAUUACUUUGGUUUUCCACACACCACCAUUCACACAACCUCGCAGUUUUCAGAUGCUGUCAUCAUAUUGCAACUCUUUUUGUCAGGAUUAAGACUCAGUGACAGCUGAUGGACCAUCCUCUCGCUCAUAUUUCAGUCACUUACAUCCACAUUUAGUCUUUCCCACCUGGAGUUCUCUCUUGAGCUGACUUCAAAUGUCAUACAGGGUAAACUCGCCUUUGGAAAGGAAGAGAACUUGCUUGACAACGACAGCAGAGACAGCUUUCUGAAACUGAGGGAAGUUAAAUGUCAUGAUUAAUAUAUAAUAAGACCAAACUGCAUUUAUCAUCCUGCCAAUCAUCUCUCCUUCUACCUGGAUCUAACAGCUUCUGCCAAAACAGUGAUUCCUUUGUUUUCCUCACUGUAAGAAGCUUGUUUUAUUACCCUCUGAAAAUGUUCACUCAUUUCCCCUUUUGGUGUUGUAAACUAAAUAGAUGAUGGGAUAAAGGAACAAUCUUCUCUUCAUGCUGCUUGGCCUCAGGUUCUCUUUGCGCUGACUGAAAGUUAUGCCUAUGAACUUGCUUGAUGGAGUUCAGAGGACUGGUGUUUGAAGAUAUCAUAGUAACGCUAUUAAGAUUAUUCUGAGGAUGAUUUUCUUUGUUGUUGUUGCUUUAGUUGAUCACUAAAAAGAGCUGGGUGUCCAUCAUUAACAGCUUGAGGGUGCUACCAUUUACACGGUUAUGUAGCCAUGAAAUCUUCAGAAAGUCACACCUUAAUUAAAUGUCUGAAGCUAGCUGUUGACGCCUGUGGUAGCUCCCCAUGACAUGCUGCCUUUUGUUAUACUGCCUGCUAUCAUAACUUGCAACCUCCGGCUCGGACCUUCAUGGAGAGUCUGUGGAUGGAACAGUCUCAAAGAUCAGUAACAGAUGAGACAUGGAUCCAGUUCUUACAGGCCACAGAAGAGUCAUCAGUAAAGCGGUGUUUUUAAACUUGCCUCUGUUGUCUGUCUCUGUUUCUUGGUAGCAAUAGUCGCUAGUUUAAGAUCAGCAAAGAAGGUCUCCUUAAGAUAUGGCCACUUACUCAGCUGAGUAUACUCUCUGCACAGAAAUCCAGCAUAAAGAAACAACUAAACUUGGUGCUGAUUAUCUUUUUUUUUUUUACUAUAUAAGUCAUGAAGAUGCACCAGUGUAAGAGUGGCACUAUUUCAAGAUCACUUAAAAACUGCUCAAGUUCUUAAUUCAAAUAUUAGUGCUCCUUUUUUUUUUUCUUUACUCUAACAUAAUCUGAUUGUCAUGCAUCUUCUUUAACUCAAGUUCAGCUCGCCAGUUUUUUUAUCAUCUUGAUUCCCUUCCUGCAGUUCUGGUCAGUGGACUUAGUGAGAGGUGAAACAAACGCGCUUCACAGCAUCCUGUAACUCAUCCCAGUUUGCUGUAUGCCAGGUAACAGCUAAAGAGAUACUUGAUGUUAUACACUGAAAUUUGAAUUACAAAUAUGCUCGCUUGCACUCACGCCUCAAUUUAUAAUGUCAUAUUCAGCCAAACUGCCGCCCCCGCUGUUGCACUUAGACUAUCUGAGGACUUUUUAAGGCCCAAAUGGAGAGGGAUGGGAGAGUUGAUCAUGUUUAUUAAGUCUGCUUGGCUACAUAUACAGAAUCGUGCUCGGCAGCAGCCUACAGGAAUGGUGUGGUGUGAAGCUGAGUAGAUGUGAAAUGUGGGCACAAGCUGUGGGCGAGAUCCACUUCCUCUGUCUCCAUAGAGAUGACAGGGAGACAGGAAGGCCUCCUGCACGCUAGGCCGUCACUAAUUCAAGAUGGCAGCCACAGUCAGAGGAGCUGGCAUCUAAUGAUAAUGUGUCUGAGGAGGUCAUUGCUGGUGACAACAGAGCAAAACAUCUGUUUGUAGCACUAUCUAAAAUACCUUGUAUCAUUUUCUGCUUGAAAGAACUUUGCCUGCCGCCAUCUGCCCGUAAUAUAACAUUUAUCAGUGACACAGAUCCACAAAAGUGGACCAUCUGCUUAUGAAAGAAGGUCAUUUGCCUUAUUUUUUUCUCUAUGACAAUGCUGUCUGCCUGCAUUCAUCUUUUGUGAAUGUCUUCACAGGUAAAAAGAACAAAUCUGGUCCUGAAAACAACCCCGUGUUUGACGGUUGGGCAAACAUCCAUCUGCUGAGGGUGACUGUGUUGUAUGUUUUAAGGCCUCAGAACAAAUGUACCUCAUAGGGAGAUUAAUUUCCCAGAUCUGUCUUUACAUUUUAAUGAAGGCACAUUGUUGUGGUUGUGAGCAAAACAGUGGCAAAGAAAAGACCCUGUGGUGAAUUCAUGGGUAAUGAAACUCAGCGCAAGUUCAAUCAGGAAGACUGUUUUCACAGUCCUUCAUUCAGGACAUUAUUAAUUCAUAUCGCUCUCCCUCUCAUUCAGUCUCAUCCUCUCUGUCUCUUCCUGCUUUAGGAUCAGCUGAUCAGGGAAAUGACUUCUGUCACCCAAUCAUUCUGCUGAUUUAAUACUGGCUCUACACCAAAUGACUGAGUGACUUUAAAGUCACAGACAAAUUCACAAAGUCACAAUGUUAUUAUGACUUUUGCGUUGGAGUUGUGACUGAACUUUUGAUGUACCUCCUUUCACUCGAGUGGGCCCUUGUCUUGCAGGACCAGCGUUUGCAAAAUAAGAUCAGGACACAAGACACACUGACUUUUAAAUACAAACCCAGACGUGGAGGUGGAGCUGCUUCCCUGAAGGCACAAACAAACCUUUAGAAAGAUGUCUGGCUGUAGAAAUGAAAAGACAGGGAAGAGGCAGAUUCAAGGCCAUAAGUGAGACGUACAAGCUGAAGGUAUAAUGUUGUCGCUUUAUUGAAAUAGGAUCUCUAAAAACGUCGAAGCUAAAACAAGCUCUACAUGGAGAAGACAUUUACAUUCAGGUUACCCUCCACCUCUGUCGGUGCUCAAUAAUAAUUCAGACUGUAAGUCCAUCCAGUGUUGUUGAAGAGGCUGAAGGACAGGACCCAUGCCAGCCACCAGAGCCGGUCCACUCCAUCCCCAGAGUGUGGUGGACAGCCGGGGCCUCGGAAGAGGUUGAAGGAUGGAUGUGUCCUUGUUGUGUGGAUCAGGUGGGCAUUGGCGCUCACAUUGCCAGACACAACCUCCAGGAAAUUUCCAGAAAUAAACCAAAUCAGAAAUUUUCCCUGAGAAUUAUGGGAAUUAACUUGAAAUUGGGGGUAAUUUAAACAAGCUGUAUCAUAUCCAAACAGAAUAAAAUAACAAAAAAACUUAUAAAAAGACAAAUACUCACACUACAAUGAAUUUUUCUUUUAUUAUUUAUAUUCACAGUCUGGAACAGUCUCAUUUCAUUUUUCGCAAUUCAAAGGCCUAAAUGAGAAUACUUAAUGUAGAAGUUUAAAAACUGGGAAAAAGGCUGCACACAAAAAAACAAAAUGUUCUUCUUAUCCUGAUACAACUAGAACUGAGAAAAGGAAAGGCAGAUUUGUUGGUCUCAGUUUUUCUGGAGCUGCAGUUUUGCAGCUGUGUGAUGUUUGUUCUUGUGAUGCAUCUGAUGUGAAGAGGAACAAAUCUGAUACCAGUUUCUUUAUCAGUAAUGCAGCUUCGGUCACGAUCCAACAAAAUCAUGCUGUCGUGAUCAAAUAAACAAUGGGGAGGCUGUGUCAGGCAUGUUUGAUACUUUCUGAAGCUGAAAUUAUCUUCACCUUAUGCAGAUAUUUAUUCAGAGAGAUGAGAAAGAAAGUGGAAUUAUAAAUCCUGUCAAAAUCUCUCUUUUUAUUCUUCGCACAAGCGCUGUUGUAGUCUUUGGCCCUGAUCUACUAAGAUCCCAAAUAGUGGACCCUAAAUUGCGUGUGCAAACUAAAAAAAACUGCACGUGCUAUUGGUGAGCAUGUUGCAGGUGAUCGACUAUAAUUGCCUGCGCAAUUGAUAACAGGAAUAAAAGUUUGCAUGGUCUGAUGAUCUACACACAGUUAGCAUAUUCAUGAAGGCAAACUAAAUGGAUUGUUGUUUUGCUCAUUUGACAGAAGCAAUUCUUGGUGCACCUGGUUAGUAGAUCAGUUUUUGCACAUGCACCUUUAGCAGAACGGGCCCUUGUGUUGGUAAGUAAACCCAUUAAAAGCUUUGAUGAAAGGCUGAAAUUGUAUGUUCCUUAAACACAAGGGUUCAAUACGCAGUCUUCCAAUCACCCUUAGUGGCGAGAGAACGACCACUGUGGAGACGUAUAACUUUCUUAAUCAGUACUUUACUCUUCACACCCCAUCAGCUUCACAACAACAAGACUUCUUUGUCCCUAAUCACAAGUGAAGUCGCAAAAUAACCAGAGGAUAAAACAGCUCAAUUCAGUGGGAAAAACCUCAAGGACUGUUGAAUGACUUUGUCAGAAGAUGCCAAUGGAAACAUUAACAAAUAUUUGUAAAUUAACAAAUAUUUGACAGCAGUAAACAUAUUUUAAUUGAAUACAUUAAUCCAAAUAAAUUGACUUAAACCUCCCAUUUUAACCCCAAAUUGCCUCAGUGUGUAUUUUCCUGGAGAUAUUGGAUUUGGGAGUCUAAGGAUUGUUUUAAACAAAAUUCAGUUUUUUUUUUCUUUCUUUCUUUUUAAGGGAACAUGAGGGGGUUAAUUUAGUUCCCUCAAACAAUGUUUGGGCUUUUUUUGCAGACACAGUGGUAUUUAGAUUAAAAAAGGCAGAGGAUGGGUGCCAAAAUAACACACUUUUGUUAAAAUCCUCUUGCAUUUAAAAACAAUCGUGUAUGCUGACCCCGAACGAAGCAUAAAAACACAAGCGAGCCUAGAAGAUACCCAUGGUGUAAAAUAAACAAUCUAUAGUACUCCAACUCCAGCUGCACAUAACACAGGCUAUAAAAGCGUAUGAUUCCUCAUUUUAGUAAUAGUGAAUAUAGUCAUUUAUAAAUGACCUAUUUUUGUAAUGAGAACUGGGUUGGCUAAUUUUAUCAAUACUUUUUUUCUUUUUCUUUUCACAAAUCUGCAUCUCUAAUUCACUACAAACUGGAUGGAAAAAAAGUGAAAAGACUAUUAUAUGGUUUUGCCAUUUACAUUGUUUCAGAGUCAAUGUACAACAUUCAGAGGCGGACACCCCACAGUGAAUCUGGCUCUUGGUGGACCUGUGCUCACUGAUAGGCUUCCUACUCUUAAAAAUGGGCUUUUCCACCCUCAGUGGUGCCCUGCCAACUGUUCUCCCACUGCUCCACUCAUCUGUGUCUCCUGGCAUCAGAAGGCUGCGGUUUCCCAAAAAAGACAAGAUCAGUUAGUGUUUGAGUUGCUUUGAUCUCAAUGUGAUUCCAACUGGGAAUAAAGCCUGGCCCUUGCACUGCCAUCACUGUGUCAGAGAAGUGUAUAUUUAUGUGCUUGACCUUAAUAGCUGUAAUUGGCUAACCUCCAUUUAGCCCUCUUCCAGCAUCCUGUCAAUAAGUCAAGAGUGAAAAGAUAACGGUUUGACUGUUCUGGUCCAAAGAGGCUUCGCCACCAGGGAGAAGAGGAGGGAAAAACGCCCGGUGAGUGACACAUCUUUUACAAAUCCUUUUAGUCAAAAAGCGCUUUAACAUUAGUCAUCAGAGCGCGUGACAGGCUCAGUCAAUACAGAGGUGACGUUAUUCACCUCCAACUGGUGGUGUCCCAUUUUGUGAUGCCACUCUCGCUCAGGGGAAAAUACAGAGGAGGGAAGCAACAAUGAGUGGGAGAAAGGGCUGAGACUGAGGAAGUGGAAAAGAUACUGGAGGGACGAGGUGAAGAGUGGAGUAGAAAGAAGGAUGGAGAAAAAGAGCCGCGGCUGGUGAAGCAAAAUUGACAUUUUUAAGAGUUAAUCCAUUUAAAGGAAAAAAUACCAAUGGACACAGUGCUAUUGACGAUUCUCUGUUAUGUAAAAAUAAAAUGAACACUCUGGUUUAUUUAACUACUCAGUCUGUACUUUUGCCAGCGUCUCUCUGAAAUACAGCAGAUUUAACAGAUAGUCAGAGCUGUCGUUUCUUUUCUUUUCUUUACCUUUUCUUAUUCUUAUUUUUUAUUGAAAUGCUUGACGCUGAACCGACAGUAAUUGUUUUUUACCAACUGGAAGCUCUUAAAUUCUGGAAUAAAACAUGGGCACCAUCUUUGAUGUAUGAGUGAUAAGUUCACCCACCAGCAAACAAAGCAGGACUCCUCUGACACACAUUCAGGCUCUGUUAGCAUUUGUUUGUUUGUUAAUAAAUAAAUGAACCUUUAUUGUCAGUGGGGGUCUGACUGCAAGUUUCUCCAGAUUAUUCAAGAUGUUUGAUGUCCUCUGUCAUACAGUUUGAAAAAGUUUCUUAUACAUAUAUAUACAUAAACAUACUUUCAAAGGUAUGCUGUGGGUUCUUGAAAGAAUUGCAUUCUUUAUCUGUGUAGCCCAUCCGGUAAUUCAGGUGUAACUUCAGAUGCUUUCGCCGUUAUAACAUAAUGGCGCCGUUAGCAUAUGAUUCAGGGGGACUCAACUGAUAAAAUGAUAUGCCUUUCAACUCUGAAAAAUGGGUUGGGCACAAACAGGUUAAAAAGUAUGCUAAAAUUGCUGCAUCUUUGCAGCUUCACAUAUUUUGGAUAUUUACAAUGGAAUCCUUGAUGAUAUAAAAUAAAUAUUCAUAUUCAUCUCCAUGUGAAUUAAAUUAUCCCUGAAUAUUCAGACAUGCGAAUGACAUAAUCAAUUAAUGGACAAAUAAAUCAGUGACUUUAAAAACUGAUAGAGACUGAAGCCUUAAACCAACGUGAUGCCAGACAAUAUCACCUACCCAGGAAGGUUCCGGAUGUCAGGCACAGGAACAGGGCAUAUCAUUGGAUAAAUUCCAGAAAACACCAACCCAGGACUGUAAACCUGUUUCGCUGAUGGGGGGGCUAACAGUACACUCUCAAACCACACACUGAGGUUUAGAUUCACUCAAUGUGUUGGACCUGGCAUGCAAACAGGAAGAGGGUGCAGGGGUGGUAUUAGACAGGCCCGAGAUGUGACUGGAUACUGGUUCAUUCAUUACAGUUUAACUCCUCCCCUUAUCCGUUUGGUGUUGUGCUGUUGACACAAACCAACGCGCUGAUCCUCCAUUUCUUGUCUCCAUCUAACACUGGGGUCAGACGACAUAUAUCUUUUUCCCCCGUUAUGAUGGUCACCAUGUCGGAUCAGGCGAUGGCAGAACCAUAAAUUCAUGCCUUGACUUGACUGAGAGACAUGACAGACUCUAAGAUGGUACACGACCACUCAUGACUGAUGUGAUGCCUUUGGAAGGCAGAGAGGGCUAGAGGACACCCAGAAAUGCAAACAGCAGUUACUUAUCAGGUUGCUGAAGUGCGUCUGCUUUGUCUCGCCAUCAUUUCUCUUUGCUGAGUCUGUCACGGUAGUCUCUUGACAUCACCUCAGAAAAAGCGCAGACUUUCCCUCUGUCCCGCAGUUCCAUCUUGCAGCACCAGCUUCAUCAUUCUUGUUUUCCUAGUUUGUAUGCUUUGUCUGCUUGUGGUUGUAGUGCAUGCUGAGUGCUGCUCUGUGCUGUCACUGGUCAACAACACCAACAAGUGGGAACACGGUGUAAAAGGCAGCAAGGCUGAGAGGAAAUCUAAGAUGUUAGACUUUAUGUCAGGAGCUGUCCCAGAAGUGGCCUGACCUGUGGCCUGGUCACUUACUAUGACACACUCUACAGAAUGAAACCAUCUAUUUCCGGAGAUACAGGUCCUGAAACCUUACGUCUGCCUGAUCAGGCUACAAUUGCUGUUAUAACAUACAGUCUGACCUCUGUGUUAGGUGCCAUAAGGUUCAUGUUGGGUUGUUCCUUCCCCCUCCUCCUCUGCUUCCUCCUUUUUUCUCUCUCUCUUCCUCUCUGACCCUCCAGGCAUUACUCUCCUUCCGCUCUACCUUUGGAUCAGCUGUUUGAACACACAUGAAGCUUCCUGCUCAUCAACCUGCACCAGGAAGGGCAGGAGAGGGAAGGCAGCGGAACAGUUGGGUCAACAGCGAUUGUAUAGAAAGGUUUAAGAUCUUGAAAUAUGUUUUCUCCUCCUGUGGGCGGAUGUGUUUUAGGAUUCUGUGCUGCAGUUUUCUCUGGUUUUGAUGCAAUUUCAUGCAUUGUGUUUGCUAUUGUUGCAGUGUCUGCAUCUUUGUGCCUCCUCGCUGAAUGACAGUUUUAUUCCCCAUGAAAAUCCAGAGAGUUUAUGCUCAGCUUUCCUCUGGGUUCCCCAAACACACAGGAUGACUGAUCAUAAAUAUUAAAC
Molecule: non-coding RNA, 12732 nt
Organism: Xyrichtys novacula (pearly razorfish)
Lineage: Eukaryota; Metazoa; Chordata; Actinopteri; Labriformes; Labridae
Source: the annotation of a GenBank genome assembly